This is a long non-coding RNA of Oncorhynchus gorbuscha (pink salmon), 4612 nucleotides long. RefSeq lists it as uncharacterized. The transcript has 5 exons. The record is from RefSeq and is a predicted model, not a curated record. NCBI's taxonomy places the organism in Eukaryota, Metazoa, Chordata, Actinopteri, Salmoniformes, Salmonidae.
ACUUGCUGCCAUUAGCGACAUCAGCUGCAACAAGUAUAAUAGAAACUUGAGCACUGGUGAUGGCCGCAGCAGGAAGGAAAUAUACCCGGGUCGUUUAAACAUACUAUUUUGGUUUUCAAACUAAGUGUCAAUGAACAAUACACAGAACAAUUUGAGUGUAUAUAAAACAAAUACUUACUGGUUCGUGGGCGGCGCUGAGAGGGGGAAGACCACCUCCUCUUCCUCGUAUUCAGGUCCAUCCUGCAUGUCGCUUUCAUCCACAGUUCCGAGUCCCCCGUAGCCUGGGGGCGGUGGGGGAGGUGGAGGCAGAGGGGGGAAGACACUUGACCCGUCGGGACCCACCGAGGUGGGUGACAUCCGGAUGCCGGGUCCCUCCGAGGUGGGGGAGUAGCACACACUGCCAAUGGUCCCUGAACUUGUUCCUAUAAUAAUUGCAUGUCCGCCACUCCCUGUAGCUGACAAGGCAGGUCCGGCAGUAUCUCCUCCAGACACGGGGUAAAUCAUACUUAUAUCAGGGGGGGAGUCUGGGGAGGUGUUCAACGGGUGGCGGAGGUUUGUUGCAGCUCCCUGGCCCAAAUCAGUGACCCGCACUCUGGUCGGGUUGGGAUAAAACGGAAAAUGGGCCGUCUCUGGGCCUCCACCGCCCGCCACCCCUUUCCCUGCCGAGACAGAGCCCGUAUCGUCGCUACUGACCUCCGCAGCCAUCAUUUUCGGAAAAUACGUAGAGGGGAAUAAGUAGAGAAGGGAACCUGCCCUUCCCCUCUAGUCUUGCAGCACCCCCUCACUGCUUGGGUUGGUAAAAACAGCACCAAAAGUUUAUUGGAAAACAACACAUUAACGGUAGCCAGCUAGCGCUAGCUAGUGGUUAGCUAAUAACGCAAACUCGUAAGCUAAACUCUAGCCAAAGCUAGUUAGCUACAGUAGCUAGCUAUGAAGACACGAGUUUUCAUGAGUUUAAAGUUCUACUAGAAUUGCGGUUUUGAAAAUAACGUUUAAAUACCUGAAGGGAGAGGCAGAUGACGUAUUUAAUUCCUUUUUCCCCCCUAGUCCUGCCUGCUCCCUUGGCAGCCACCAGUCUACUUGUCGUCUGUGCCCACUCUGAUGACUUCUCCCAUCACUCGGGAAGACACAUCAGGGGCAUCCUUGUGUAUUAUCAUGAACAGGGUAUUAAAAGGAGGUCCUUAGCCCUGGUGAUGGAGGCUGCUGCAGCUUCAGGACUACCUGUGUCUUUAGUUAAGAACUGGAUUUGUAACUAUGGGUGUUCACUUAAUACCUCCUGCAAAACCUGGCGCCGCAAAGCUGCUGGUUAUAAGUGCAGUGUCUGCUUAUAACUUGUUUUGCGCAGAGCAGCUGAAGGGGAAAGACUUUCCUUUCUCUAUAUAUUUCAGUCCUUCUACCCUCUCUCUCAAUUCUCUCUUUCCCAGGGCAUGGAGGGAUAUCAACAUCUCAUUCUUGAUGACAGCACCACUGUACAUUCCACAACUGGAGUGAUUUUACAUAUUUUCAGGGCACAAGACUGGGAUUUAAGGAGAGCCAUAGAGCGAGGGAGAGAGGGAGAGAGGGAGAGAGGGAGAGAUAGAGAGAGAGAGAGAAAGUAAGUAAGUACUGGGUGACAUCUCCUGUCUCUCCCUAUCUAUGUUUCCACGUGGUGGCCUGGGCUAGCUCCCUGCUGACUCACACUCGUUUGUUGAUCUAAUGUGACUACCAUCCACUUCACCCCCCCUUUCUUCUACCCCCACUCCUCCGAAAGACCGCUGGGCCGUUCCACGAAAAGAGCGCAUUUGGAUAUUUUAAGUAGAAAUUUAAAACCCUGUUAUAUUAAAUGAAGGGCCCUUUAAUAUGGACUACAUGAAUAAAGGCUUGCUAAAGUGUCAAAAUUCAGCAUUUUGACUUCUAGGAAGAUUUGAAGCUACUUUAAUCACAACACUUCUCAGUUUCACCCUUGUCAUUUUGUUGCUUUGACAAUGUAAUUUCUGAAGAUUAGUAUGUAUUUAAUGUGAUUAGUGAUGUAUUUACAUCUGUCCCUCCUUUUAAAGGUCAACUUGUUACUCUCCUUUUAAUAUGGUGAAACUAUUCAUUUUGAGAACAAAAAAUUCAAAACAAACAUUGAACAUCUAAUAGUCAAAUCGUUGCGUAAAAGCAGUUCAGUUGGUUCUUCUUUUUUUGUGUGUCAAUUUUCUGUUAUUUUGUGGUGGAAAACUGAGCUGGUCGAGCAUAGCACAUCAACCCUGUUACCCAUAGAUAAGCUAGAAAUGUUUAAACAAUUUCAUUUGUUUUUUUGUGAAGCUUGCAUUCAAUUGCCACUCCCUGUUGCACAUAACAAGCUUCCAUUCCCCCCUGUCUCAAGGGGAUUUAUGUAUGAUUUAAUUAAGAAUAAAUAGUCAACCCUGUUACAGUCAAUCCUGUUACAUAAAUGCACAGACAUCCACAUACACAUCAAGAAUGUUGCUUGAUUGGAAGACAGAGCCCCUUGUGGCUAGCACUUUGGCUAGCACUUUGGCUAACACUCCAGCAAGCAUGAUGUGACCAGUGUAGUUUGGCCUGGUUUGGUGGUGUAAUCUGGGGGAGCAGGGUCAUCACCUGUCCCUCUGCCUAUGUAGCUGUAUCCCGCCGGGGCCUCCCAGACUGAAAGUAAUUAGAUUUCCGGCAGGAUGUGGCUAGUCGCUUUUACCUGGAAGGCAGACUGGGUGGAAGAGGACCAAUACCCAGUGCUUAAUUUGUAAAUCGGGAGGUGCCGGAACAAAAAGUGAGUGGAGGGUACCUGAACGCAUGAGUAAAAACAUCAUUGCGUGCAUAUCAUUGCAUUUGCAUAGUGGCAUAGAGCAGUAGAGUAGAGGCACAGAUGGGGAUCAUUUUUAGUAGCCUAGGGUCUGGGAAAAAUGUGGCCUUUUAGAAACGCAUUUCAUGCAAUUCUAGGUGAAUUUACACAACUGGAGACUUCGGCAGAAUCUUUUUUAAAACCGCACAAAUGAUCAUAAUGGCAGACUACUUUGACACUGACAAGAUAUUGAUCCUCUGUGGCUAAAUUACAGGCCAUUUGAUGUAUUUUUCUGAAGACUAUUUUUUUCAUUCUAUAACUUAGGAACAAUCUUUUUUUUUAUCAGUGGUGCUGAAGCUCCUCUGAAACCCUUUGCGCAGCUAUGAUUCUAUAAGGAAAUAAAUGAUGAAGUGCAACGCUGGAGAGAUGAGAGUUGCAGGCCCAUGUCUAUCAGAGAAGAGAGAGAUCAUAGAACGUCAAUCUUAUUCUAGUUCUGUGAGAGAAACUGGCGCGCUUCUCACACAGCGACAGCCACGCGUUGGUCUCAUACAUAGAUUCCAAUAUAUUGUGCAAACCAUAAGCCCGGAUCCUGUUCCGGCAGGAUGCGGCUAAAAUUAAGCACUGCCAAUUCCUGCUGAGAAGUGGAGAACUCCACCCUCGGCCUCACCUAUUGGUGGAGGAAAGCAGUAGUUAAAACCUGGAAGGAGUUAGGAGGAGCCACUGGGAGAGCAGGGGUUAUUCUGACAGACAGCCAGAGGGAGAAAGGGUGUAUGAAGGAGAGCAAGAGGGCAAAGUCACCAUUCUGCUAUGUUUCAUAGUAACCGGUUUGUCGGAUGAGAAUACCAGGCACUGAUUUGAGAAUAGCGGGAGCCUGACUGAGUGCAGAGAUGUUCUCAUUCAUAUUCAACACUGAAUUAUCAUAAGGCUUCAUUCAGCAGACCUCUCAGUCAAAGUCACACUUUGAAGCAUCAUUGUUUGUUGUUUUCCAUGAAUGGUCUUAAUGGGAGCUACUAUCAGACAUAACAUCCCUUGGUUCAUCCAGAUUGUGCAUGGCAGAACUCAGUCUAGAAUAGCAACAUUCUAACUUCCUCCCCUCAGCUUCCUUAUUCACCAGGCACAAUGUGAUAUGUCUCUGACCCCCUCAUGUCUGUUUUAAGUCCCUCGGUAAGUGGGGAACAUCUGAAGGGGAAUCUUCUGUACACACAUUGACACUUUGUCUCCAAGACUCUGGUUCAGUGCAAUUGUCCAAAUUGCUUUUACUUCCCCAAAUUAAUGGGGGAAGAGAGACUGAGACUGAGUGACACAUGAGGGUUGGCAUGACUGAGGGUCGUUUGGGAGGUAACAUCUUGGUUCUUCAACAUUACUAUCCUGGGACCAAUUUUUUUUUUGCCAUGUCCAAUGUUAACCACCUGCUUAUUAAAAAUGUAUGCUAUCUGCACUUUCAAUUUUAGAAUGAAGUAGUGCUAUGAAACAUUAGGUAGGCUAGUCCUCCAGUAACAAACUCCGAUAAAUUAGUUUCUUAGAGUGUGCUGAAGAAGAUUGUGCAAGGACAGAAAGGUGUGUUCCCAAACUCACUCUCACAUCCAAAAGUACACACCGACGCACAACUACACACAAAUGCACACACACUUGCAUACGCACAAGUACACACAAGUGAUUCCAACAUUUUAAUUGGUAAAGUACACAAGUACACACACACCCUAACGGCUUAUGUUUCCAAAGGUCGACCCUGGUCUACAUCUACGUCAAGAAGAAAACAUCUUCUUUUGGGUCAUAGAGAAAUGCCAUCUCAGCAUACACUCCCGCUGCUGUACUCUGUCCAUCAAAUCAAAUCAAAUGUAUUUAUAUAGCCCU